GACUCCGGGGCGCAAUGGUACCGCGUCUGACUCCAGAUCAGAAGGUUGCGUGUUCAAAUCACGUCGGGGUCA
This 72-nucleotide transfer RNA is filed under the name Nematostella vectensis (starlet sea anemone). It matches the Rfam family "tRNA". Rfam says of the family: Transfer RNA (tRNA) molecules are approximately 80 nucleotides in length. Their secondary structure includes four short double-helical elements and three loops (D, anti-codon, and T loops). Further hydrogen bonds mediate the characteristic L-shaped molecular structure. tRNAs have two regions of fundamental functional importance: the anti-codon, which is responsible for specific mRNA codon recognition, and the 3' end, to which the tRNAs corresponding amino acid is attached (by aminoacyl-tRNA synthetases). tRNAs cope with the degeneracy of the genetic code in two manners: having more than one tRNA (with a specific anti-codon) for a particular amino acid; and 'wobble' base-pairing, i.e. permitting non-standard base-pairing at the 3rd anti-codon position. The record is from Rfam by way of RNAcentral. Lineage: Eukaryota; Metazoa; Cnidaria; Anthozoa; Actiniaria; Edwardsiidae.